GACGAACGCUGGCGGCGUGCCUAAUACAUGCAAGUCGAGCGCAGGAAACUGACGGAACUCUUCGGAGGGAAGGCAGUGGAAUGAGCGGCGGACGGGUGAGUAACACGUAAGGAACCUGCCUCAAGGAUUGGGAUAACUCCGAGAAAUCGGAGCUAAUACCGGAUAGUUCAUCGGACCGCAUGGUCCGCUGAUGAAAGGCGCUCCGGCGUCACCUUGAGAUGGCCUUGCGGUGCAUUAGCUAGUUGGUGGGGUAGCGGCCCACCAAGGCGACGAUGCAUAGCCGACCUGAGAGGGUGAUCGGCCACACUGGGACUGAGACACGGCCCAGACUCCUACGGGAGGCAGCAGUAGGGAAUCUUCCACAAUGGACGAAAGUCUGAUGGAGCAACGCCGCGUGAGUGAUGAAGGUUUUCGGAUCGUAAAACUCUGUUGUAAGGGAAGAACACGUACGAGAGGGAAUGCUCGUACCUUGACGGUACCUUACGAGAAAGCCACGGCUAACUACGUGCCAGCAGCCGCCGCGG
This 524-nucleotide ribosomal RNA is filed under the name uncultured bacterium. Its description in RNAcentral is "partial 16S ribosomal RNA". It matches the Rfam family "Bacterial small subunit ribosomal RNA", at positions 28 to 523 of the family's 1533-position model. The record is from RNAcentral.